This 538-nucleotide long non-coding RNA is filed under the name Macaca fascicularis (crab-eating macaque). Its description in RNAcentral is "lncRNA (ENSMFAG00000053539.1)". The record is from RNAcentral. Lineage: Eukaryota; Metazoa; Chordata; Mammalia; Primates; Cercopithecidae.
UGUGUCAUUUUAUUACAGUGCAAUAAGUGAGGUGAUGAGCUUUGUGCAGAUUUUAUGGAAUUAAAGAAAGAGGUCAGGAAAGCUUUUAGGAACUGUAGAGACAGUGCCUAAAUUGUGUUUGAAGUUUGUCCCGAAUCAGCAGAUGAGAGAGGAGAGAGAAGAGUGGAAAGAAAUCUAGGUCAAUUAUCUUCCUAUUUCAAUUCAAAAGCAUAAAGGAGACUUAAAACACAAAAGAAAAAAAUGAGAGGAAUUAAACUUCAGAAAAGUAAAAUACACAAUCGUCCACGGCUUAUGUCCAUGUGAGAAGAAUGGAUAUGGGUUCAGCUAAAGGAAACUGUGAACUAUGGAAGAAAAAAAUCCUAUGCAUUUGUCAUCCUGGGUUUUCCCAAGUAAAAGGGGUCAAAUAGCCACCUUUGGGAUGCAUCCAAUAGUCCCAUGUCCAUAGAGAGACCCAAGUGGUAAUAGCAACCAACCAUUUAAGAGGCAGAGGAAAGUGGCAAAAUGUGAAGCUCUAUGAUGGAAGGUAAGUUUUCAUUCU